This 493-nucleotide ribosomal RNA is filed under the name uncultured bacterium. RNAcentral describes it as "partial 16S ribosomal RNA". It matches the Rfam family "Bacterial small subunit ribosomal RNA", at positions 28 to 507 of the family's 1533-position model. The record is from RNAcentral.
GACGAACGCUGGCGGCGUGCUUAACACAUGCAAGUCGAACGGUGAAGGGACCGGUUUUUGCUGGUUCUGGAUGAGUGGCGAACGGGUGAGUAACACGUGAGUAACCUGCCCCCUUCUUCUGGAUAACCGCAUGAAAGUGUGGCUAAUACGGGAUAUUCUGCGCCUGCUGCAUGGUGGGUGUGGGAAAGAUAUUGUUUCGGUGGGGGAUGGGCUCGCGGCCUAUCAGCUUGUUGGUGGGGUGAUGGCCUACCAAGGCGGUGACGGGUAGCCGGCCUGAGAGGGUGGACGGUCACACUGGGACUGAGACACGGCCCAGACUCCUACGGGAGGCAGCAGUGGGGAAUAUUGCACAAUGGGCGCAAGCCUGAUGCAGCGACGCCGCGUGAGGGAUGGAGGCCUUCGGGUUGUAAACCUCUUUCGCCAGUGAAGCAGGCCUGUCCCUUGUGUGGGUGGGUUGACGGUAGCUGGAUAAGAAGCGCCGGCUAACUACGUG